UUCCGGUUGAUCCUGCCGGAGGUCACUGCUAUUGGAGUUCGAUUAAGCCAUGCGAGUCAAUAGUUCUUCGUGAACUAGGCGGACUGCUCAGUAACACGUGGGUAAUCUACCCUCAGGUCAGGGAUAACCCCGGGAAACUGGGAAUAAUACCUGAUAGGUGAAGAUGUCUGGAACGAUACUUCGCCCAAAGCCCCGGCGCCCGAGGAUGAGCCUGCGGCCGAUUAGGUUGUUGGCGGUGCAACGGACCACCAAGCCUUUGAUCGGUACGGGUGGUGAGAGCCAUAGCCCGGAGAUGGGGGCUGAGACACGGCCCCAGGCCCUACGGGGCGCAGCAGGCGCGAAAACUACGCAAUGCGCGAAAGCGUGACGUGGGAACUCCAAGUGCCUUGCCUUAGGGUAAGGCUUUUGUUCAGUGUAAGUAGCUAAACGAAUAAGUGCUGGGUAAGACCGGUGCCAGCCGCCGCGGUAACACCGGCAGCGCAAGUAGUGACCGCUUUUAUUGGGCCUAAAGCGUCCGUAGCCGGUCCGGUAAGUCUUUGGGUAAAUCCUUCGGCUUAACCGAGGGAAUUCCGAAGAUACUGCCAGACUUGGAGUUGAGAGAGGUCAGAGGUACCUCCGGUGUAGGGGUGAAAUCCUAUAAUCCUGGAGGGACCACCAGUGGCGAAGGCGUCUGACUAGAGCAAGCUCGACGGUGAGGGACGAAAGCCAGGGGCGCGAACGGGAUUAGAUACCCCGGUAGUCCUGGCCGUAAACGCUGCGCGCUAGGUGUUGCAUGCUCUACGAGGGCGUGCAGUGCCGAAGAGAAGUUGAUAAGCGUGCCGCCUGGGAAGUAUUACCGCAAGGUAGAAACUUAAAGGAAUUGGCGGGGGAGCACCACAAGGGGUGGAGUCUGCGGUUCAAUUGGAUUCAACGCCGGG
RNAcentral lists this ribosomal RNA (917 nucleotides) under uncultured archaeon. Its description in RNAcentral is "bacterial SSU rRNA". It matches the Rfam family "Archaeal small subunit ribosomal RNA", at positions 1 to 922 of the family's 1478-position model. The record is from RNAcentral.